This 352-nucleotide ribosomal RNA is filed under the name uncultured bacterium. Its description in RNAcentral is "bacterial SSU rRNA". It matches the Rfam family "Bacterial small subunit ribosomal RNA", at positions 8 to 349 of the family's 1533-position model. The record is from RNAcentral.
AGAGUUUGAUCCUGGCUCAGGAUGAACGCUAGCUACAGGCUUAACACAUGCAAGUCGAGGGGAAACGACAUCGAAAGCUUGCUUUUGAUGGGCGUCGACCGGCGCACGGGUGAGUAACGCGUAUCCAACCUGCCCACCACUUGGGGAUAACCUUGCGAAAGUAAGACUAAUACCCAAUGACGUCUCUAGAAGACAUCUGAAAGAGAUUAAAGAUUUAUCGGUGAUGGAUGGGGAUGCGUCUGAUUAGCUUGUUGGCGGGGUAACGGCCACCAAGGCGACGAUCAGUAGGGGUUCGGAGAGGAAGGUCCCCCANAUUGGAACUGAGACACGGUCCAAAACUCCUACGGGAGCA